CAGCCAUCAAUCCGACGUCAACUUCGCCAGCGGGCGUGCUCUGUCCACUGCUGCACCUGUGUGUAAAGUCAAGGUGCGCAGUGGGGACUAAGUGUCGGGGAGAAGUGUCAAGCUACCUGGCCUCAUUACUCCUGACUGCGUCAUACCUGGAUGUCGCACUCCUGGCCCCGUCACACCUGGUUGCUCCACACCGGAGCCAUGGACUCGUAUGGAGGCCAAGACACAUUUGGGAAUAACUAAACAGCUAUUCAAUAUACAUCCCUGCAGACCCGACGCAAUGCGGAAGGAAAAAAAAGCACUGUUGAUAUUGACCAAAAUUUAAUGGGCAUGCCAUUGUAUACCAAAUGAUAAAAUCACAUAAUUUCUGUUAAUAUAUGACAACGGAAGGAAUUUAGUCGGCCUAGCGCAGCUUUGCGCCCACGCUCACAGCAAGGGUUUACAGAUGCGUGGAAAUACAAGCAGCAAAAUGGAACACUCACUGAUGGGACACUUUGGGCCUGAAAUCAGCAAGAUGUAUGGGUGUAAUAAGAUGCUACUGCAUACAAAAAGAUUUGGAUUCCAAACUUUCCUUAUUCACAAUGCUCUUGAGUGCUAGAGCCAUUACUCAGCAGCUUUCAACUAAAACCCUCUCUAAGUUACACUUAGUCCCUUUAUCUUGUGUGAAAUAUUUGUCGACAGACACUACUUCAUAACCUUUAUUUGCUUCCACGCUCUGGCAGUUUCCAGCAUGUGGGGUUUUUCACGCACCAGUGUAUUGUAGGUUAAUAUUCCAGCAUGCCAUGAAAUAUUAAUCUGCUAGAAUGCGAAAGCACUCGUAGCAUAUAGACAAAGAUUUUUGUUUUUUUUUAAUAAAUGAAAUAUUAACUACUAAAUAAUGAAUGGGCCCUUAAAAAAAGGGUGAUCGUGCCUUCGGAAACAUUGACAAAAUCAAUGUGGCCACGGUCGGAGAUUUCUAUGAAAGGGAGUAACCUUCGGAAUCCAAGAGGCCACCAUGCACGGAAUGCGUAUGUCUGUUAUCUGUCAGUCACUCUGAUCAAUACUUUGACAGUCUGUCGUGCCUGUGAUGUAACCUCGUUAUUGCAUCGAUCAGGAGAUAUGCACUUGCUGGUGUGGUGGUCGGACUAGCCUUGCAGGUGGCGUCGGCGUCUAAUUUGUAUUCGUCGAAGGCCCCCAGAACCACCUCUGUCCGAGCUGUAAUGAUUGAAACAGGCUCAGAUUUGUUAAAGGGCCAGUGUACACCUAAUCGAUGGAAAGGGAGCAUUAGACCCAGGGCAGUAAUUUGGUACACAGUGUGCAGUUUAGGCAACAUUACAUUACGAGUAAUUCAAUUCGUAAGGCACCAAGCGGAGAGGUUUCUCUGCAGAAAUGAAGGUAAUUAUGAUAUUAAUUAACAAUUAAAUUGCUGUGCUUCUCAAUCACAUCGAACUUGAUGCAAUAAUUGCUUUAAGUACGGGUGUAUGAUGGUGCAAAUGCCAACCUCGUCAGGUUAAGCAUUUAACAUUAGCCCGAUGUCUUCUCAUGAAAUGCAAGAUUAAGUUUUGCGACGCAUUCAGUGCACCGGCGGUGGUGGUCAUAUGUCAUGAAAAAUUGAUGUUAUUCUGAGGGCAUCAUCAAGAUAAUUUAUCCAGAGCGUUGAUUCAAUUUUCAAACGCAGUGCACCUCAUUGGGCAGAAAUUUAUGUUGCCAUAGUAAUACUAGGCUGUGUAAAAUAUAUAUAUAUAUCUGGAACAUUUGACUGCAGAGUUGACCUAAUGGGACAAUACAGAUAACGUUAAAAACAAUGUGAGAUGGCAUAAUUACAGGACUGGUAUCCAGAGGCAAUCUUGGGGAUAUUGAGGCCCCAGCAUGUACCACUGCCUCCACUGGUGGCAUAUAUAAAUGAAAUAUUAGGCAAGCAUGGCAUUAAAGGCAAUUAUACUGUGACGGCCUGCAUAAUAACCUUACUAUCUCGGCUAAUUAGCUAGGAAAAUUGAAGUGCAGUACUUGACAAGUAAUGCUUACUUUUACCUACCUUAAAAUGCCCCACUAAGGUGGUGUAAUAUUAGAAGUGUCAGACUGGUGAUCAGCUUAGCAUGGAGUCACCGUCAUGCCACUAAGAAUUGCACUUUCAUCAUCAGAGAUUACAAUUUUUAAUAUCCUGCAGCCAAAUGUCCAGACAUCCUAUAUUGCUGUGCAACGCGGAACCUAAGAAGAACGAUGGCUGUCUGACACGUGAUGAUUCACCUCUACAGCAGUUCAAUACACGGACACGAUCCAGGGUCGUGGUUCAAUUUAAACCACAUUGCUUUUUGUGGUUUUAAACUUUUUCGUGUAAUUAUCUGGUUUGUAACGCGUCUCAUUUUUGUUUCUUAUCUAUAAUUUGUUCGCUCGAUUGUCCUAGAAGUAAUAAGAAAUAUGUUUUAUAUGGUUUACAUAUACAGGAAAGCCUUGCCCGAUGCGGCUUCAUUGAACGCGUGUUUCGGCUAUACACGGUUUACCUAAUGAGGUCUGUUUUCUGGAACAUGGGGGUGAUGUUUCGACUCCACGCGGUUUAAUGCGGCUAAUCUCAUCUCUGCGUCAAAAAGUAAGACUCCUAGAGUGGUGCAUCUGUUGGGAUGUGUGAAUGAAUCGACUGUGAGAGCUGUUUAUUUACCAUGUGUAUCUUGUGCAUGUUUUUGCGUGAUAAUGUAACACUCAACGCGCACAACACAAGUGUUUACACAUUGGCGAACACAUCUAGCCGUCCACUCGUUGCAGACGUCAGACGGAUACCUAUGUAGUGGUUCAACUCGGAGGCAGUAAUUCUUGGAGCCACUUUUAUUAUACUCACAAUCCCCCUUCACACACCCUACAUAGGCUACACACACCCUCGCCGAGACACCACACUAGCCGUCUAACACCGAUGGUGCUGACCGAUACCGCCAACAACCAUAUAACAGCGCAAUAUCAAGCGACGACGCCUGCGGCGACUAAGAGAAGAAUGGUGACGAUGGACUUGAGCAGCACGGCGGGAUCCCACUUACAAUCAACAGCCCCGAGGUCCCCUCCAGGGGCCCCUCUUAUACUGUCACGUGGCCUGGCACCGCCCCUGGCCACGCCCCCUUUCUAGAACCUACCAGCGGGUUCCUGGUGUGCCCCUUCUGUGACCUUUCUGUGACCUUUCCGCGAGAUCCUCUGGUGUAUCACGUGGCCUGCUGAUGUCAGGGCUGCCGUAAGCCGCAGAUCCCCUUCCCUGCCAGCAGCCAGCGCUAUGCUGCUACAUUACUAUUCUAUGCCACUACACCUAGAUGGCGAAUCGUCAACACGCUCUCAAGACAACGACAACAGCAAGAACGCAAAUGUUCACACAUUGACGAAUGAGGACGUUAGUCAUACGGACGUCUAGAUGUCGAAUUAUUAACGUUCAAGUGACUGUGUUAGGAACGAUAGUCAGGCUGAGAAUUCAGUGUCAGGGGAGAGUGCUGGCCCUGAGAACCGCGGUGUGGGAUAGAAGUAGAGACGGGGGUUUUGUGUUGCGGUGAAAUUGAAAACUAAGUGUGUACACACACACAAAGCAGAAAUGGACAGCGAAUCUACAUUUUUUAGUACAAUAACAUUAGUUAAAGAAAGAGGGAGGGGGUGAUCAUUUCGGAACCAGGACCGCAACCCUGCUUUUUACUUAAGGUCUAUUAUUCCUCGAACGCGGUUUUGCCCAACGCGGCAUCUUCUAGGGAUGUAACCACCGCGUUCGGCGAGGUUAGGCCUGUACCCUACAAAAGUAUACCUACAUGCUUAAUUUAACGAAUGUAUCUUGCAUACGAUAAUCGAUUUUAAUCCAUUAAAGCGUGCAUUAUACUAUGCAGGCCAGCUGUCGUGUUAAUGCUGUGUUAAGCUGCUGUGGUUGAACGGCAUGCGAUGCUUAAUAUGCUGCACAUUCUUGCAUCUGCUCCGAUGUAACCAAUUUCCCAGCACUGUUCCGUUGACAUAAAUUAAAAAGCAAACACAAAGUCAAAACAGGGCAGUGUUAAGCCCCAGACAUGGGGCGAGAGUUAGGGGUAAGGCUGGAGCUAACGAGCUGGUUAGAUAAUUCGCUUUUAUAUGUGUAAAAUAGCUGGUAUUAUCCUGCACAGGGAGCAGCACAUAUAACCAACACUCUACACAUCCGUCAAUAACACUGCCCUCAAAUUAAAAAUAACGUUUCGCCAUCAUGCUAAGUAGAAGGGCAUUGCCUAAAACGUCACCUAUUCUAUAAUUGUUUUCCUUUUUGGGGGCAUUGUUAUUGAUGGAUGCGUUGAGUUGGUGUAAAGUGGAGUUAGUCUUGCGAGUGUGUGUGCUGCCCGCUCACAGGUUUCACGUUCCUCCAUUUGCCCAGUAUGGCCUCUGUACUUUGCUUUUCAUUGUUUGGUGUUUGCAUUACUGAAGCGGUGGGUGCCACGCUCCAGAAGGAACCAUCUUACAGACGAUACGCAAUGCGAAGCGAGGAUAUGUGCACCCAAUAGAGAGUAUGAACAUCACAGAUCAUGUGAGCUGCUUCAAUAGAUCAGGGGGGUUAACCCUAGCCUUCUGGCUAAAAUCUCACUACAGCUCAAUCGGAUCUCCUGCCUUUUCCAAAUUCCCUUCACGUGACUUAUUUGUAAACAUUUUAUUUUGCCCCGUAUGGUGGUUGAACAUCACUGUCAACAUGGUGUAUACGGCUCAUAUGGAUGUGUAUUGUGAGUUCUAAAUAUCGCUUUAAAAAAAAAUCUAAAUAUUGAUGUGCACCAGUUAAAAUCAGCGGUGACAUUGAAUACGCUGAUCACGAAUCCUGAGACGUUAUAAAAGAUUAUAAUCCCUCUUAAGUUGGGAGAACACAACACGUUGGUAGCCAGAUGGUUAAUAUUCCACACGCUCCUCUUGAAUGCAUCCAACGUAAAGCACAAACAAUGUAUUGUACAGCAUACAUUUCAACGCGAAGCCAAUAAUCGAGUAAUUUUCCAGACUAGGUGAGAAUAGCUGCACUGGCAAUUUCCAUGCAAUGUUUGACACGUGACUAUCUGUUAACAAUGCUCCAGAUGUUGUGCAAGCAGCAUGACUAUGAGGCAAAGACACGGUCGCAAUACGCAACGUGUGUUCAUCAGAAUAUGUAUUUAACCUAGAAUAAUCCGAUGAGCUACACAGAUAUACAUUGUACUCGGGUAAUAAAGUAAAGUUGUGGCCCACAUUUUUCGAUUUAAAGCUUUCGUGACUGCAUGGAUUCAUCUUCC
Molecule: long non-coding RNA, 5201 nt
Organism: Lethenteron reissneri (Far Eastern brook lamprey)
Lineage: Eukaryota; Metazoa; Chordata; Hyperoartia; Petromyzontiformes; Petromyzontidae
Source: RefSeq, a predicted model, not a curated record